RNAcentral lists this ribosomal RNA (484 nucleotides) under uncultured bacterium. Its description in RNAcentral is "partial 16S ribosomal RNA". It matches the Rfam family "Bacterial small subunit ribosomal RNA", at positions 30 to 507 of the family's 1533-position model. The record is from RNAcentral.
AUUGAACGCUGGGGGCAGGCCUAACACAUGCAAGUCGAGCGGAUGAAGGGAGCUUACUCCUGGAUUCAGCGGCGGACGGGUGAGUAAUGCCUAGGAAUCUGCCUGGUAGUGGGGGAUAACGUCCGGAAACGGGCGCUAAUACCGCAUACGUCCUGAGGGAGAAAGUGGGGGAUCUUCGGACCUCACGCUAUCAGAUGAGCCUAGGUCGGAUUAGCUAGUUGGUGGGGUAAAGGCCUACCAAGGCGACGAUCCGUAACUGGUCUGAGAGGAUGAUCAGUCACACUGGAACUGAGACACGGUCCAGACUCCUACGGGAGGCAGCAGUGGGGAAUAUUGGACAAUGGGCGAAAGCCUGAUCCAGCCAUGCCGCGUGUGUGAAGAAGGUCUUCGGAUUGUAAAGCACUUUAAGUUGGGAGGAAGGGCAGUAAGUUAAUACCUUGCUGUUUUGACGUUACCAACAGAAUAAGCACCGGCUAACUUCGUG